CAGCGCAUAUGUGAGUGAGAAUAACAAAGCUGGCUCCACUUUAUGUUCCGUUAGUGCUCGAGACCCCGACUGGAGACAGAACGGUACAGUGAUUUAUUCUCUGUUAGGCGGUGAGGUGAACGGUGCCCCGGUGUCCUCCUAUGUGUCCGUGAACGGAGACACGGGGGUGAUCCACGCUGUGAGGUCGUUUGAUUAUGAACAGUUCCGGAGCUUCAAAGUUCAGGUGAUGGCCAGAGACAACGGUUCUCCUCCUCUCAGCAGCAACGUGACCGUGAGUGUGUUCAUAUCAGAUGUGAAUGACAACUCUCCUCAGAUCCUGUACCCCGGGCCAGAGGGCAAGUCGUUCAUGACCGAGCUGGUCCCCAAAGCUGCUCACGGAGGCUCUCUGGUGUCCAAAGUGAUAGCGGUGGACGCGGACUCUGGACAGAACGCCUGGCUGUCGUAUCAAAUAGUGAAAUCCACGGAUCCGGGACUUUUCACUAUUGGUGUCCACAGUGGAGAGAUCAGGACCCAGCGGGACAUUUCUGAAUCUGACAGCAUGAAACAGAACCUUGUAGUGUCAGUGAAAGAUAACGGGCAGCCCUCUCUGUCUGCCACCUGUUCCAUGUAUUUACUGAUUUCUGAUAACUUGGCUGAGGUGCCAGAACUGAAGGACAUUUCUUAUGAUGAGAAGAACUCCAAACUGACCUCUUAUCUGAUCAUCGCGCUGGUGUGUGUGUCGACAUUUUUUCUGACCUUCAUCAUCAUCAUCCUUGGUGUGAGGUUUUGUCGCAGGAGAAAGCCCAGACUGUUGUUUGACGGAGCAGUGGCCAUCCCCAGCGCGUAUCUCCCUCCUAAUUACGCAGAUGUUGACGGCACAGGAACUUUACGCAGCGCUUACAAUUAUGACGCCUACCUGACAACAGGGUCUCGAACCAGUGACUUUAAGUUUGUUUCAUCGUACAAUGACAACACACUGCCAGCUGACCAGACUCUGAGGAAAAGUCCAUCAGACUUUACUGAAGUGUUUGGAGACUGUGACGACUCUCCUGAGGUAGGAACACCUGCUUAAUACCUUGCCAUGUGGUCAUCUCGAUAGUUUGAGAUAGUUUUUUUGUAUUCACUUAUACCAUUCAGAAGAUCAAAAAAUUUUUUUUGUGGUUUUCUGUGGAUUUUGUUUAAAUUCCUUCUUUUCAAGCCUGAAAGUCAUGCCAUGUUGCCAUCAGCUUCGUUGAACCCUUCAGUUGUGUUUCUUUUCAACAAGAUCAAACAUUUUUGUUUGUGUUCCCUCUACUUCUUUGCAGCAUAUUUAUACCAUAAACAUGUUGUAGACUUUUGUUUUCUUUUUUAAAAUCAGGGUAAAUGUAAAGAUAAGUGAUUAGUGCACAUUUUGUGGUUUGACAUUGAGCUUGUCUGUUUUCUUUGCAUUAGUGGAGAAAUCUUUGUUACAUAAAGCUGAAUUCUUAGCUUUUGUUGUCUCUGUCCUUGGUGCUGAAACUUCCCUUUGCCCUGUGGAAACAGAAAGAAACACCCUUUUGUCUACAUUGUCCUUGUGUUUAUCUUUGACCAAUCUCUGUGGAAAAGUUCAAAUGAUUUGGCUGUAGUUUUUGGAGACAUUUUUUAUUUAGAGAAAUGACAUUUUUUAGAACUGAAUUGUUUGUUCAAACUCCCAAAUUUUUGCUCCCUGUGGUUUGUAUAUACUCUCUUGGUUCUUUAAUCAUGCUUCAGUUUUCAAUGGUAAAAUGAUAUUUAUCUCUUCUUUAAGAUUGAAAAUGCUUCCCUUCAUUGUUGCUUACCUGUUCUUACAAUAGACUUAUAACUCAUACAUCCCAGCCUCUUUUGAUAUCUUUUUUUAGUUCCAGAUUUGCGCACUGAUGUUGACUGAAUAGUAAUAACGUGUGCUCUUUACAGUUAGGUCUCUGUUUUUAAUUUGUUUUGAUAAUUUCAGAUGACACCGCUGACCUAUCAGCAUCAGGUUCUGAUGAAAAGUCCAACAGACUUUACUGAAGAGUUGGGGGACUAUGACGACUCUCCUAAGGUAGAAACAUG
Xyrichtys novacula (pearly razorfish) is the source of this 2028-nucleotide non-coding RNA. NCBI's taxonomy places the organism in Eukaryota, Metazoa, Chordata, Actinopteri, Labriformes, Labridae. The record is from the annotation of a GenBank genome assembly.